AACGAACGCUGGCGGCAGGCUUAACACAUGCAAGUCGAACGCCCCGCAAGGGGAGUGGCAGACGGGUGAGUAACGCGUGGGAACAUACCCUUUUCUACGGAAUAGCUCUGGGAAACUGGAAUUAAUACCGUAUACGCCCUACGGGGGAAAGAUUUAUCGGGGAAGGAUUGGCCCGCGUUGGAUUAGCUAGUUGGUGGGGUAAAGGCCUACCAAGGCGACGAUCCAUAGCUGGUCUGAGAGGAUGAUCAGCCACAUUGGGACUGGGACACGGCCCAAACUCCUGCGGGAGGCAGCAGUGGGGAAUAAUGGACAAUGGGCGCAAGCCUGAUCCAGCCAUGCCGCGUGAGUGAUGAAGGCCUUAGGGUUGUAAAGCUCUUUCACCGAUGAAGAUAAUGCCGGUAGUCGGAGAAGAGGCCCCGGCUAACUUCGU
RNAcentral lists this ribosomal RNA (430 nucleotides) under uncultured bacterium. Its description in RNAcentral is "partial 16S ribosomal RNA". It matches the Rfam family "Bacterial small subunit ribosomal RNA", at positions 29 to 506 of the family's 1533-position model. The record is from RNAcentral.